GUGAAUCAUCGAAUUUUUGAACGCAAAUUGCACUCUCUUCGGAGAGUAUGCCUGUUUGAGGGUCAGCCUAAAAAAAUUCAACAAAUUUUCGGUUCCGGGGAAACAUUCUUCGGAAAUUGGGUCAUCUUAAACCUUGGGUUUUAGCCGGCUUAAAAUUUUCUUUACAUUUCCAGGAACGUUUCUAGGAUUUUAUCUUCUUUUACGUUAAGGGUAUCUA
Molecule: unclassified non-coding RNA, 217 nt
Filed under: Glomus sp.
Lineage: Eukaryota; Fungi; Glomeromycota; Glomeromycetes; Glomerales; Glomeraceae
Description: partial contains 5.8S ribosomal RNA and internal transcribed spacer 2
Rfam family: 5.8S ribosomal RNA (bases 1-65)
Source: RNAcentral